GCGAUAAGCGCCGGUAAGGUGAUAUGAACCGUUAUAACCGGCGAUACCCGAAUGGGGAAACCCAGUGUGACUCGUCACACUAUCAUUAACUGAAUCCAUAGGUUAAUGAGGCGAACCGGGGGAACUGAAACAUCUAAGUACCCCGAGGAAAAGAAAUCAACCGAGAUUCCCCCAGUAGCGGCGAGCGAACGGGGAGGAGCCCAGAGCCUGAAUCAGCAUGUGUGUUAGUGGAAGCGUCUGGAAAGGCGCGCGAUACAGGGUGACAGCCCCGUACACAAAAGCGCAUGUGCUGUGAGCUCGAUGAGUAGGGCGGGACACGUGGUAUCCUGUCUGAAUAUGGGGGGACCAUCCUCCAAGGCUAAAUACUCCUGACUGACCGAUAGUGAACCAGUACCGUGAGGGAAAGGCGAAAAGAACCCCGGCGAGGGGAGUGAAAAAGAACCUGAAACCGUGUACGUACAAGCAGUGGGAGCACCCUUUGGGUGUGACUGCGUACCUUUUGUAUAAUGGGUCAGCGACUUAUAUUCUGUAGCAAGGUUAACCGAAUAGGGGAGCCGGAGGGAAACCGAGUCUUAACCGGGCGUUAAGUUGCAGGGUAUAGACCCGAAACCCGGUGAUCUAGCCAUGGGCAGGUUGAAGGUUGGGUAACACUAACUGGAGGACCGAACCGACUAAUGUUGAAAAAUUAGCGGAUGACCUGUGGCUGGGGGUGAAAGGCCAAUCAAACCGGGAGAUAGCUGGUUCUCCCCGAAAGCUAUUUAGGUAGCGCCUCGUGAAUUCAUCUCCGGGGGUAGAGCACUGUUUCGGCUAGGGGGCCAUCCCGGCUUACCAACCCGAUGCAAACUGCGAAUACCGGAGAAUGUUAUCACGGGAGACACACGGCGGGUGCUAACGUCCGUCGUGAAGAGGGAAACAACCCAGACCGCCAGCUAAGGUCCCAAAGUCAUGGUUAAGUGGGAAACGAUGUGGGAAGGCCCAGACAGCCAGGAUGUUGGCUUAGAAGCAGCCAUCAUUUAAAGAAAGCGUAAUAGCUCACUGGUCGAGUCGGCCUGCGCGGAAGAUGUAACGGGGCUAAACCAUGCACCGAAGCUGCGGCAGCGACACUGUGUGUUGUUGGGUAGGGGAGCGUUCUGUAAGCCUGUGAAGGUGUGUCGUGAGGCAUGCUGGAGGUAUCAGAAGUGCGAAUGCUGACAUAAGUAACGAUAAAGCGGGUGAAAAGCCCGCUCGCCGGAAGACCAAGGGUUCCUGUCCAACGUUAAUCGGGGCAGGGUGAGUCGACCCCUAAGGCGAGGCCGAAAGGCGUAGUCGAUGGGAAACGGGUUAAUAUUCCCGUACUUGGUGUUACUGCGAAGGGGGGACGGAGAAGGCUAUGUUGGCCGGGCGACGGUUGUCCCGGUUUAAGCGUGUAGGUGUGUGUUCCAGGUAAAUCCGGUUCACUUUAACACUGAGGCGUGACGACGAGGCACUACGGUGCUGAAGCAACAAAUGCCCUGCUUCCAGGAAAAGCCUCUAAGCAUCAGGUAACAUCAAAUCGUACCCCAAACCGACACAGGUGGUCAGGUAGAGAAUACCAAGGCGCUUGAGAGAACUCGGGUGAAGGAACUAGGCAAAAUGGUGCCGUAACUUCGGGAGAAGGCACGCUGACACGUAGGUGAAGUGAUUUACUCAUGGAGCUGAAGUCAGUCGAAGAUACCAGCUGGCUGCAACUGUUUAUUAAAAACACAGCACUGUGCAAACACGAAAGUGGACGUAUACGGUGUGACGCCUGCCCGGUGCCGGAAGGUUAAUUGAUGGGGUCAGCGCAAGCGAAGCUCCUGAUCGAAGCCCCGGUAAACGGCGGCCGUAACUAUAACGGUCCUAAGGUAGCGAAAUUCCUUGUCGGGUAAGUUCCGACCUGCACGAAUGGCGUAAUGAUGGCCAGGCUGUCUCCACCCGAGACUCAGUGAAAUUGAACUCGCUGUGAAGAUGCAGUGUACCCGCGGCAAGACGGAAAGACCCCGUGAACCUUUACUAUAGCUUGACACUGAACAUUGAGCCUUGAUGUGUAGGAUAGGUGGGAGGCUUUGAAGUGUGGACGCCAGUCUGCAUGGAGCCGACCUUGAAAUACCACCCUUUAAUGUUUGAUGUUCUAACGUGGACCCGUUACCCGGGUUGCGGACAGUGUCUGGUGGGUAGUUUGACUGGGGCGGUCUCCUCCUAAAGAGUAACGGAGGAGCACGAAGGUUGGCUAAUCCUGGUCGGACAUCAGGAGGUUAGUGCAAUGGCAUAAGCCAGCUUGACUGCGAGCGUGACGGCGCGAGCAGGUGCGAAAGCAGGUCAUAGUGAUCCGGUGGUUCUGAAUGGAAGGGCCAUCGCUCAACGGAUAAAAGGUACUCCGGGGAUAACAGGCUGAUACCGCCCAAGAGUUCAUAUCGACGGCGGUGUUUGGCACCUCGAUGUCGGCUCAUCACAUCCUGGGGCUGAAGUAGGUCCCAAGGGUAUGGCUGUUCGCCAUUUAAAGUGGUACGCGAGCUGGGUUUAGAACGUCGUGAGACAGUUCGGUCCCUAUCUGCCGUGGGCGCUGGAGAACUGAGGGGGGCUGCUCCUAGUACGAGAGGACCGGAGUGGACGCAUCACUGGUGUUCGGGUUGUCAUGCCAAUGGCACUGCCCGGUAGCUAAAUGCGGAAGAGAUAAGUGCUGAAAGCAUCUAAGCACGAAACUUGCCCCGA
This 2709-nucleotide ribosomal RNA is filed under the name Salmonella enterica subsp. enterica serovar Enteritidis. Its description in RNAcentral is "partial 23S ribosomal RNA". It matches the Rfam family "Bacterial large subunit ribosomal RNA". Lineage: Bacteria; Pseudomonadati; Pseudomonadota; Gammaproteobacteria; Enterobacterales; Enterobacteriaceae. The record is from RNAcentral.